Molecule: ribosomal RNA, 274 nt
Filed under: uncultured bacterium
Lineage: Bacteria
Description: partial 16S ribosomal RNA
Rfam family: Bacterial small subunit ribosomal RNA
Source: RNAcentral
AUACGGAGGGUGCAAGCGUUAAUCGGAAUUACUGGGCGUAAAGGGCGCGUAGGCGGUCUAUCAAGUCAGUUGUGAAAUCCCACGGCUCAACCGUGGAGGUGCAUCUGAAACUGAUAGACUUGAGUAUGGGAGAGGAAAGUGGAAUUCCCGGUGUAGAGGUGAAAUUCGUAGAUAUCGGGAGGAACACCAGUGGCGAAGGCGACUUUCUGGACCAAUACUGACGCUGAGGCGCGAAAGCGUGGGGAGCAAACAGGAUUAGAAACCCCUGUAGUCC